UUUAGUGAAGUUAUCAUCAUAAUUUAUUCCAUGCCCUUCCAUUCUCUUUCCAAAAAGAAAGAAACAAAAAGUAGCCUUGUUCCAUCUGUUCCAAAAGAAAGAAGGAAGAAUAAUUUUUUUGUUAACUCCCAUCCAUUUCAAAACAAGUUCGGCUCCACAAUCAUCCGAAAAUCCAUUCUCAACUUCUUCAAUUACCAAGCAUACAGGAAGAAUUAGAGUAAAAUGUUGUCCAAGAAAGGGUUUAAUUCAAGAUUGAAGCAAGGAUGAGACUAUAACAUCAAAUUAAGAGGUAAGUCAUGUGUUUUUUCUAUAUUCAUAUAACUUGAACAAAUAAUAUAUGUUAUCAUAAUUGCUAUGUUUUGGUUGUGGGAGAUUGUAUUGUUGAUAGAAUCGAAAGGAUUCUAGGGUAAUAAGGAUAGAAUUGAGUGGGAAAUUGGAUAUCAAACAUGUUCAAACCCGUAUGAAAUCUGAACUUUAAAGUUAUGCACACAAAAUGUUUGUUAAAAUGUCUCAAUGAGACUAUUAUGUUAAAACAUGAGAAUUGGUUAAAGCUCUGUGCUAGAUAAUGUACACAUGAGUUAUAAGAUAAAUCAAGUUGGUUAGAAAUUGAGUGUGUAUGUCUAUGUCAAAAAAAAUAAUUUAACUCUGCAUUGGUACUGUAAUAUUGUUAGGCAGUGUUAGAGGUGGCAAACGGACGGGCGGGCCCGGGCCGGGCCGAGCACGGGCGGGCCGGGCCAAAAAAGGCCCGGAUUUUGGCGGGCCGAAAAUGUUAGGCCUGUGGCCCUGGUUGGGCCGGCUCGGCCCGCGGGCUUCUUCCCCUAUUAUUUUUUAUUUAUUUUAUUUUUUUUUUAAAUUUUGCUACACCAAAAAUAGUAAUAAUAAUAAAUAUUAAAAGUAAUAAAAUAAUUUAUAAUAAAUAAUAAUUCUAAUUACCUACAUUAACUACAUAUCUCAAUCAAUUAAAAUUUUAAUAGUAUUAUAAAUUACUUUCAAAGUAUAUAAUCAAAUUUGAUUUUUUAAAAUUAUACUUUAAAAUUAAUAUAAUUUAUUUAACUUUAAAAAAUGCAUUCAUGACUCCACAAAUAUUGUUCCAAGAGAUAUCUAAUUAAUUUUUAUAUUGAAGAUUGCAUUAAAAAUAAAUAGUUGUUGUAGCUCAGUUGGUUUGAACUCUUAUUUAUUUACUUACAAGUCUUGUGUUCAACGGGCCGCGGGCCGGGCCUUCACGGACCGGGCCAAAAACGGCCCAGAUUUUAUGUGCUGAAAAAUGGCGGCCCAAAGCCCAGCCCGUGGCGGGCGGGCCGGUCCGACCCGCCGGCCUGGGCCAUUGCCAGGUCUAGGCAGCGUCUACGUCAACUUUCAAAUAGGCAAGAAAAAAAAACUGCUUAUAAUCUUGUGUAUCUUUUUAUAUACCAUAUAAUGUUUAUUGAUUUGGAAAUAUUAUUAUUUAAAGUUUCAACAUGAUGUUAAAAGUAAGAAUUUUCUGGUGAGACAUUUACCACGUACCGCUUUGUGAGUUCCAGAGUACCUUAAUAGCUUUUACUAAACACUCAUAGUAGCUUUUAUUUACUACUUGAUGAUGGCAAAAGAAGAAGUCUCUUUGUUAAGAUUAGAUAAACUACAAGUCAUGAAAUAUAUUCCUAUUGCACUAGAUCCUAGCAAAAGUUUACAUUGUUCAUAUGGGAAUUGAUUAGUGUGUUUCAAAUGAUAAAUAAGUACCACCUAAAUAAAGAGAGAAAAAUGUUGAAACAUUUAUUAGAUAGUCAUACCCAUUUACCAUCUGAUGCAUUAUUAUCAUUGCAGGGACAAAAGCAGUAGGUACAUGGUCCAUAAUGAAUGGGCCAUAUUGUUCUUUUUCUUCUCAUCUAUUUGCCUUAUUAACCUCCCGAGAUUAUGAAAAGGUAAAGAGUGCCAAAAUGAUUAAACUAGACACAUACUUGUGGACAAAUCCUCAAACAUUCCCAGUCACUCACUUCCAUUCUACACCACAUUCCUCAUACAAUGAUAAUAAAGUAUCUGGAAAAGCUCACUAUUAUUGAUAAUAUAGGUCAUUAUAAAGGGAAACUAGAAAGUGUAUAUUUCUGGUUUCCUCACAAAAUCUUUCCUGUUUGGAAUAUAGGGGUCAGUCUUCACUAUUGUUGUCUAUUGUGGAUGGCUUCCUUUGUUUAGAAUAAAAUGAAUCUUGAUAUUGAUAUAAAUGAGGAUAUAUUGAACAAAGUGGCUAACAGAAAUCAGUUUUUUUCUCUCUCCUUUUAAUUUCUAUAAUUUGAUUUCUUUUUGAUUUGCUAAGAUAAUGACCUAUGAAGUUAAUAAUAAUUGGGGACGUAAUUGAAUCUACUGCGACUGUUACAGGAUGAUUACGGGGUUCUAAAAUUGAAACAGGUGGCCCAAAAAUCAGAUUAUGUGAACAUUUAUUUCUUUUUCCAGGGUCCUGUUAAUGUUUCCUUUCCAUCGAUUUUGGUUGCACUUUGGUUAUUUAGGAUUAUAUGGAAAUUUAGGAUUUUAUAUAUGUAAAUUACCCAAGGAAAAUUCUAUCUUCCUUGUUUUGGUUAUUGAAUUUUUAUGCUCUCUACAUUCCACUUCAAGUUUCAAAACCAAGUCUGGAUUAUGGUAUUGUUAUUUGGAGUUAUAAUUGAGUUACUAUCUGAAUGCAAUUUUAAAUUCAUAACAUGCUAGGUUCAUAUAGUUUGGCAGAUUCUCAGAAUUGAUGUGAUAUGACCUUUGCAAUCACCCCUACACAUGAAUGAUGUAUGUAGGACUCAUAUACCCCUCUCCUAGUUUUUGAAUUAAAGGAAAGGUCUUGGGUUGAUAUUUCUGGAUUAAGAAAUUCAUCAUGCCUCAUUUUUCAAUGCUUGGAAGAAUCUUCUUCUCAGUUAACUAUCAAUGUACAAUUAUGAAAUUUGAUGAGCUGGGGCAACUACCUUGAAAGGAUAAUUUGUAUCUAGUUAUUAAUAUUUUACAAAAAUUAAAUUUUAACAAUGAUUAACAUUGUCACUUGGUGUGAUUUACAUUUAUGUUGUUUGUUUUUGUGUGUGCGCGUGUAUAUAUUUAUUAUAUUUCUUUUUUGACUCGGUCAUUUGUUGUGAUUUUAAUGUUUGCCUUUGUAUGAGUAGCUAUGGAGGCUUGUGCAUCUACGUUUACGGAAGACAAUGGACGAAAUUAUGAAGUGUACUCUCUCUAUAUAUGUAGAUAUGUACUUUGAUUGAAGAACUGUGGUAGCUUUAGAUGGUUAAUUGAAAAGAUAAUGAAUGAUUAUGUAGUGGAUGAUUUUAUUAAGUUAAUAAUAUUUUAGUUUUUUUGUAUUUUUUCCAUUAUUUGCUAUGGGGACAUUGAGACAGCCAGGUACACAAAGAGAAUGUUAAAUUUUGAUUCGGCAACAAUAUAAUUCGUUACCAAAGCAUUGAAC
This 3403-nucleotide long non-coding RNA is filed under the name Panax ginseng (ginseng). Its description in RNAcentral is "long non-coding RNA (PGIN_LNC004466)". The record is from RNAcentral. Lineage: Eukaryota; Viridiplantae; Streptophyta; Magnoliopsida; Apiales; Araliaceae.